AAGUGCUGGGGAUGCAAAUACAAGAAAGACAGUCCCUACCUUAGAAGAACUUACGUUCUAAUGGAAGAAGACAGCAUGUAAGGGGAGUGGAAAAGGUAACAGGUUUCAUUGUAUCUUGAGAACAAGCCAAGGAAAUCCAUGAAGCAGUUGCUGCAGCUGUAUAGGUGGCUGUGAAGACUCUGCAUAGUGUGCAAGAUACUAACCUCUUUCUCACAUAUACUGUAACUUUUUUAUGGUACAGUGUGUUUCUUUACUUUUUUUGUGUUAAAUCAAUGUAAUCAGAAUUAUUAAAAAUAAAGGUCUGGGAUGGGGCCUAGA
This is a long non-coding RNA of Phascolarctos cinereus (koala), 318 nucleotides long. RefSeq lists it as uncharacterized. Lineage: Eukaryota; Metazoa; Chordata; Mammalia; Diprotodontia; Phascolarctidae. The record is from RefSeq and is a predicted model, not a curated record.